This 503-nucleotide ribosomal RNA is filed under the name uncultured bacterium. Its description in RNAcentral is "partial 16S ribosomal RNA". It matches the Rfam family "Bacterial small subunit ribosomal RNA", at positions 30 to 523 of the family's 1533-position model. The record is from RNAcentral.
AUUGAACGCUGGCGGCAGGCUUAACACAUGCAAGUCGAGCGGGGUGAUGGUGCUUGCACUAUCACUUAGCGGCGAACGGGUGAGUAAUGCUUAGGAAUCUGCCUAUUAGUGGGGGACAACAUCUCGAAAGGGAUGCUAAUACCGCAUACGUCCUACGGGAGAAAGCAGGGGAUCACUUGUGACCUUGCGCUAAUAGAUGAGCCUAAGUCGGAUUAGCUAGUUGGUGUGGUAAAGGCCUACCAAGGCGACGAUCUGUAGCGGGUCUGAGAGGAUGAUCCGCCACACUGGGACUGAGAAACGGCCCAGACUCCUACGGGAGGCAGCAGUGGGGAAUAUUGGACAAUGGGGGGAACCCUGAUCCAGCCAUGCCGCGUGUGUGAAGAAGGCCUUAUGGUUGUAAAGCACUUUAAGCGAGGAGGAGGCUCUUUUGGUUAAUACCCAAGAUGAGUGGACGUUACUCGCAGAAUAAGCACCGGCUAACUCUGUGCCAGCCGCCGCAGUAA